CAACACUCUGGAGAGAUCGGCCCGCCUUCCCGGCAGCGGCCGGCGCCGAAGGGGCACGAAGCAGCCGCACGCUUCCAAACUCUCAGGCAGAAGGACAGAGGGGC
Molecule: non-coding RNA, 104 nt
Filed under: Xanthomonas massiliensis
Lineage: Bacteria; Pseudomonadati; Pseudomonadota; Gammaproteobacteria; Lysobacterales; Lysobacteraceae
Description: Glycine riboswitch
Rfam family: Glycine riboswitch aptamer
About the family: This family represents the bacterial glycine riboswitch. Glycine riboswitches usually consist of two metabolite-binding aptamers domains with similar structures in tandem.
Source: RNAcentral